CCACUAAAAAUAAAAAUCCCCAGAUGCACCCCCGCACCACCGCUCACUCGCUCACUCCCAACGGCGCGCACGCAUUCCUCCCUCCGCACGCUUCCGCUUCCUUCCUCCACACUCCUUCACUUCCUCUCCCUUCUCCGAUCAGUGCAAGCAUCGCCGCGAAACCUAGAUCAAAGGGUGUCGUGUCAGCCGGCGAAUCGGCGAGAGGCGCGGCGCGUGUAGCUAAGAGUCAGGCAGGCAUGGAGACGCCGCGCCUCGUGCUCGGAGCGGCGUUGCGAGCCCCACCACCAACUUCUCAAUUCCGGCACCGCCGCCUCCCGCGGCCGCGCGUCGCUGCACACUGCCUCCUCUUCGCGCGCGCCCCACGCCCUACGCCUCUCACCCGGUGCUCCUACUCCAGGAAAGGGAAAGGCAAUUCUCAAGGUAAGCCCGGUCGCGAGAGCUCCAGUACCGUCCGGUUGGACGCCGAAGCAAAUAGCGACCAGGGAACAAAUUUGGCUGAUGAGCAACGUAAGGGUGACAUUCGGGAGCUCUUCAGCCAGGCUCAGCGGAAUAUCCUGUACCUGAACAAGCAGAGGCUUGUGGCCAUGGAGGAGCUGAAGAAACUGCAAGAUGAAAAUAAAUUGCUUCUUCAGGACAUAGAAGCACUAGAAACGGAAGCACAAGGUUUUCCUUUAGAAGCAGCACAAUCAUCAAGUUUCUGUGAGUUACUCCUGCGGAUAGAUACGAUGACCAUUUCUGGAAUGAUCAGCACGGAAGUAGCAUCUGAUUUAAGAAAGAAAGUUGUCGAUAAUCGAAGCACUGUACAAAGUGCCUUUUCUGAUAUUCAUCAUAAGCCAAAUACUGAACUGCUGUCAGAAUUGCGACUCUUUCUGCGUAAACCAACAGAGAAACCUCUUCAUGUUGUGCACAUCUGCAUCGAAAUGGAUCCAGUAGCAUCAUGUGGAUCAUUAUCGGCCUAUGUUGCUGGUUUAUCUUGUGCGCUACGAACAAAGGGUAACUUGGUGGAGGUCAUACUGCCCAAGUACACCAGCUUAAAUGUGGACAUAAUUCAUGGUCUGAGGAAAGCUGAGGCAGAGUAUGAAUCUUAUUUUGGCGGCCUUUGGCAUAAAAACAGAAUAUGGACAGGUAUAUCAAGUGGUGUUGGUAUUAUACUUAUCGAACCAGUUCAACACUCCUAUUUCAAUCGUGAUAUGUUAAGUGGCUACCCUGAUGACUUUGAGCGAUUUUCCUAUUUUUCUCGUGCGUCGUUGGAUUAUAUUGUAAAAUCUGGAAAGCAGCCAGACAUUUUACACAUACAUAACUGGGAAACUGCUAUCGUGGCACCACUUUUCUGGGAUAUAUUUGCUCACCAGGGGCUUGGGAACACUCGAAUAUUACUGACAUGCCAAGACUUGAAUUCACAAUGCCUAGAGGAGCCAAAUAAGUUGGAGCUGUGUGGGCUUGAUCCUCAUAACCUUCAUCGUGCUGACCGUCUUCAGGAUCCUAAUAAGACACAUCUUGUUAAUAUUCUAAAGGGAGGAAUUGUUUACUCAAAUAAAGUUGUUUUAAUGUCCUCAAUCCAUUCGAAAGAUGUUCUUAUCCAGGAUUUGAGACAUGGGUUGGAAGCAACAUUAGCUGCACAUCAGGAGAAGAUACUGGUUGCUUCUCAUGGAUUGGAUGGUGAACUUUGGGACCCAUCCAAAGACAUUUAUCUUCCUUGGCGGUAUUCUGCCAAUGAUAUUGAGGGAAAGUCUGUUUGCAGAGGAGCACUUAAGCGGCGCCUUGGGUUCCGCAGUUGCUCAUCCAUUGUAGUAGGAUGUAUCUGUGAUGGUGAUUCAGAUAUUCAUAAUCUCAAUGAAGCAGUUCAUGUUGCUCUGAGCAGAAGUGCUCAGGUCAUCUUCAUGGAAAAGUUAGGGUCUGUUGGGAACUCAGCAUUAAAGGAAGAGUUAAAGUUUGUUCAGUUUAUCAAUCAGGGAGACAAAAUAACAUUCGUUGAGGCAUACGACGAGGCCCUUGCACACUUAAUAUUUGCAGGCUCUGAUAUCAUUCUUUGCUCUUCCUUUCAAGAUCCAUCUCUGCAAAUAGCGAUGAAGGCAAUAAAGUAUGGAUCUGUGCCAGUACAGAUAAACUUUCCCAGUGAUGGAUCAAGUGAGUCAAAACUGCAUGACAACAGCAGAAGCUUACAGUAUGGAUCAAGGCUGUCUGAGGGACAUGGUUGCCGCAACAGAGCAAUGUCUCAGUACAUCAUCUCAACCUACGGAGACUUGUCUCUUUAUCAAGCACUUGAUGGCUUUAAGAAUGAUCCUUCCCGCUGGGAUCAGCGGAUUAAGGAUGGGAUCGCUAAGGGCUUAGAAUGGGACGCUGAGUGUUAUGACCUUCAUUGGGAGGCCUAUUCCUUUAUAAGGCAGCUGUGAAUUGGGCAUCUGUUAGCGAAGCCCAUGACACACCAGAUCCCCAAAUAAAAAGAUCAAGGACGUCUUGCUGUCUGAACUUGUAAGGAAGGUUCUGUUGUUCCAUGCCAAGCAAGUUCUGCCUCUCUUCAGCAUUGCCACCAGCUUGAACCCACGGGUGCUGCUGGUAUCUCCUUAGCAUCUCCAGCCUCUCGGCAGCCUCCUUCAUUGUUGGCCGUUCCUCCCCGCUCAUGCUGAGGCAUCGCACCACGAGGCCCGUCCAAGUACAGUGCCUUCUUCCUAGUCAGAAGCUCCAGGAGGACGACACCAAAGCUAUACACGUCGCUCUUAUCGGUUAGCUGGCAUGUCAUAAGGUAUUCAGGGUCCAGUGAGCUUGUCGUCGAGUAGAAUGUUCGCCGUCUUGACGUCUCCAUGGAGGAUUGGCGGCGAAGCUGAGGAGUGCAUGUACGCGAGAGCCUCCGCGGACUCCACCGCUAUCCGAAGACGGGUGUCAAAGGUUAUGUCAGCCUUGAGGUCCUUAUCGUGGAUGUAGUGGUAGAGAGUGCCGUUUGAGACGAACUCAUAGACCAGCAUGGGAACUUCCACUUCAAGGCAGCAGCCAAGCAGCUUCACGA
Molecule: RNA transcript, 3004 nt
Organism: Phragmites australis (common reed)
Lineage: Eukaryota; Viridiplantae; Streptophyta; Magnoliopsida; Poales; Poaceae
Exons: 24
Source: RefSeq, a predicted model, not a curated record